Molecule: ribosomal RNA, 253 nt
Filed under: uncultured bacterium
Lineage: Bacteria
Description: partial 16S ribosomal RNA
Rfam family: Bacterial small subunit ribosomal RNA
Source: RNAcentral
UACGUAGGGUGCGAGCGUUGUCCGGAUUUAUUGGGCGUAAAGAGCGUGUAGGCGGCUAGAUAGGUCCGUUGUGAAAACUCGAGGCUCAACCUCGAGACGUCGAUGGAAACCAUCUGGCUAGAGUCCGGAAGAGGAGAGUGGAAUUCCUGGUGUAGCGGUGAAAUGCGCAGAUAUCAGGAAGAACACCCGUGGCGAAGGCGGCUCUCUGGUACGUGACUGACGCUGAGACGCGAAAGCGUGGGGAGCAAACAGG